GUCCACGCCGUAAACGAUGUCGACUUGGAGGUUGUGCCCUUGAGGCGUGGCUUCCGGAGCUAACGCGUUAAGUCGACCGCCUGGGGAGUACGGCCGCAAGGUUAAAACUCAAAUGAAUUGACGGGGCCCGCACAAGCGGUGGAGCAUGUGGUUUAAUUCGAUGCAACGCGAAGAACCUUACCUGGUCUUGACAUCCACAGAACCUUGUAGAGAUACGAGGGUGCCUUCGGGAACUGUGAGACAGGUGCUGCAUGGCUGUCGU
Molecule: ribosomal RNA, 262 nt
Filed under: uncultured bacterium
Lineage: Bacteria
Description: partial 16S ribosomal RNA
Rfam family: Bacterial small subunit ribosomal RNA
Source: RNAcentral